Molecule: ribosomal RNA, 1433 nt
Filed under: uncultured organism
Description: 16S ribosomal RNA
Rfam family: Bacterial small subunit ribosomal RNA
Source: RNAcentral
CAGGCUUAACACAUGCAAGUCGAGGGGCAGCAUGGUCUUAGCUUGCUAAGGCCGAUGGCGACCGGCGCACGGGUGAGUAACACGUAUCCAACCUGCCGUCUACUCUUGGACAGCCUUCUGAAAGGAAGAUUAAUACAAGAUGGCAUCAUGAGUCCGCAUGUUCACAUGAUUAAAGGUAUUCCGGUAGACGAUGGGGAUGCGUUCCAUUAGAUAGUAGGCGGGGUAACGGCCCACCUAGUCUUCGAUGGAUAGGGGUUCUGAGAGGAAGGUCCCCCACAUUGGAACUGAGACACGGUCCAAACUCCUACGGGAGGCAGCAGUGAGGAAUAUUGGUCAAUGGGCGAGAGCCUGAACCAGCCAAGUAGCGUGAAGGAUGACUGCCCUAUGGGUUGUAAACUUCUUUUAUAAAGGAAUAAAGUCGGGUAUGGAUACCCGUUUGCAUGUACUUUAUGAAUAAGGAUCGGCUAACUCCGUGCCAGCAGCCGCGGUAAUACGGAGGAUCCGAGCGUUAUCCGUAUUUAUUGGGUUUAAAGGGAGCGUAGAUGGAUGUUUAAGUCAGUUGUGAAAGUUUGCGGCUCAACCGUAAAAUUGCAGUUGAUACUGGAUAUCUUGAGUGCAGUUGAGGCAGGCGGAAUUCGUGGUGUAGCGGUGAAAUGCUUAGAUAUCACGAAGAACUCCGAUUGCGAAGGCAGCCUGCUAAGCUGCAACUGACAUUGAGGCUCGAAAGUGUGGGUAUCAAACAGGAUUAGAUACCCUGGUAGUCCACACGGUAAACGAUGAAUACUCGCUGUUUGCGAUAUACAGCAAGCGGCCAAGCGAAAGCGUUAAGUAUUCCACCUGGGGAGUACGCCGGCAACGGUGAAACUCAAAGGAAUUGACGGGGGCCCGCACAAGCGGAGGAACAUGUGGUUUAAUUCGAUGAUACGCGAGGAACCUUACCCGGGCUUAAAUUGCAGAUGAAUUACGGUGAAAGCCGUAAGCCGCAAGGCAUCUGUGAAGGUGCUGCAUGGUUGUCGUCAGCUCGUGCCGUGAGGUGUCGGCUUAAGUGCCAUAACGAGCGCAACCCUUGUUGUCAGUUACUAACAGGUUCCGCUGAGGACUCUGACAAGACUGCCAUCGUAAGAUGUGAGGAAGGUGGGGAUGACGUCAAAUCAGCACGGCCCUUACGUCCGGGGCUACACACGUGUUACAAUGGGGGGUACAGAGGGCCGCUACCACGCGAGUGGAUGCCAAUCCCAAAAACCUCUCUCAGUUCGGACUGGAGUCUGCAACCCGACUCCACGAAGCUGGAUUCGCUAGUAAUCGCGCAUCAGCCACGGCGCGGUGAAUACGUUCCCGGGCCUUGUACACACCGCCCGUCAAGCCAUGGGAGCCGGGGGUACCUGAAGUGCGUAACCGCGAGGAGCGCCCUAGGGUAAAACUGGUGACUGGGG